Molecule: non-coding RNA, 85 nt
Organism: Potamilus streckersoni
Lineage: Eukaryota; Metazoa; Mollusca; Bivalvia; Unionida; Unionidae
Source: the annotation of a GenBank genome assembly
GACCAAUCUGUUGGCCUAGUGGUUAGAGCGUCCGCCUCGGAUGCGGGUGGUUGUGGCCUUGUGGGUUUGAUUCCUGGUCGAGUCA